GAUGAACGCUGGCGGCGUGCCUAAUACAUGCAAGUCGAGCGUACAGACGAGGAGCUUGCUCCUCUGACGUUAGCGGCGGACGGGUGAGUAACACGUGGAUAACCUACCUAUAAGACUGGGAUAACUUCGGGAAACCGGAGCUAAUACCGGAUAAUAUAUUGAACCGCAUGGUUCAAUAGUGAAAGACGGUUUUGCUGUCACUUAUAGAUGGAUCCGCGCCGCAUUAGCUAGUUGGUAAGGUAACGGCUUACCGAGGCAACGAUGCGUAGCCGACCUGAGAGGGUGAUCGGCCACACUGGAACUGAGACACGGUCCAGACUCCUACGGGAGGCAGCAGUAGGGAAUCUUCCGCAAUGGGCGAAAGCCUGACGGAGCAACGCCGCGUGAGUGAUGAAGGUCUUCGGAUCGUAAAACUCUGUUAUUAGGGAAGAACAAAUGUGUAAGUAACUAUGCACGUCUUGACGGUACCUAAUCAGAAAGCCACGGCUAACUACGUG
RNAcentral lists this ribosomal RNA (497 nucleotides) under uncultured bacterium. Its description in RNAcentral is "partial 16S ribosomal RNA". It matches the Rfam family "Bacterial small subunit ribosomal RNA", at positions 28 to 507 of the family's 1533-position model. The record is from RNAcentral.